This 238-nucleotide ribosomal RNA is filed under the name uncultured bacterium. Its description in RNAcentral is "partial 16S ribosomal RNA". It matches the Rfam family "Bacterial small subunit ribosomal RNA", at positions 524 to 761 of the family's 1533-position model. The record is from RNAcentral.
UACAGAGGUCUCAAGCGUUGUUCGGAUUCAUUGGGCGUAAAGGGUGCGUAGGUGGCGCCGUAAGUCGGGUGUGAAAUUUCGGAGCUUAACUCCGAAACUGCAUUCGAUACUGCGGUGCUUGAGGACUGGAGAGGAGACUGGAAUUCAUGGUGUAGCAGUGAAAUGCGUAGAGAUCAUGAGGAAGACCAGUGGCGAAGGCGGGUCUCUGGACAGUUCCUGACACUGAGGCACGAAGGCC